This 485-nucleotide ribosomal RNA is filed under the name uncultured bacterium. Its description in RNAcentral is "bacterial SSU rRNA". It matches the Rfam family "Bacterial small subunit ribosomal RNA", at positions 9 to 507 of the family's 1533-position model. The record is from RNAcentral.
GAGUUUGAUCAGUGGCUCAGGACAACGCUGGCGGCGUGCUUAACACAUGCAAGUCGAACGGAAAGGCCCAGCUUGCUGGGUACUCGAGUGGCGAACGGGUGAGUAACACGUGGGUGAUCUGCCCCAAACUUCGGGAUAAGCCUGGGAAACUGGGUCUAAUACCGGAUAUGACCUGCUCCUGCAUGGGGGUUGGUGGAAAGCUUUUGCGGUUUGGGAUGGGCCCGCGGCCUAUCAGCUUGUUGGUGGGGUAAUGGCCUACCAAGGCGACGACGGGUAGCCGACCUGAGAGGGUGUUCGGCCACACUGGGACUGAGACACGGCCCAGACUCCUACGGGAGGCAGCAGUGGGGAAUAUUGCACAAUGGGCGCAAGCCUGAUGCAGCGACGCCGCGUGAGGGAUGACGGCCUUCGGGUUGUAAACCUCUUUCGCCAGGGACGAAGCGCAAGUGACGGUACCUGGAGAAGAAGCACCGGCCAACUACGUG